Non-coding RNA from Megalops atlanticus (tarpon), 70 nucleotides. NCBI's taxonomy places the organism in Eukaryota, Metazoa, Chordata, Actinopteri, Elopiformes, Megalopidae. The record is from the annotation of a GenBank genome assembly.
AGCAGUGUAGCAUAGUGGUAAGGAAUAGGGCUCGUGACUAAAAGCUUGCGGGUUCGAUUCCCCGCUGGGG